RNAcentral lists this ribosomal RNA (384 nucleotides) under Triticum aestivum (bread wheat). RNAcentral describes it as "partial small subunit ribosomal RNA". Lineage: Eukaryota; Viridiplantae; Streptophyta; Magnoliopsida; Poales; Poaceae. The record is from RNAcentral.
AUGCUACAACCGUUGAGGCAGGAGCUGCAACCGCCCCCGGAUUUUGCUGGAACCAGUGACAGCGGCGAGCUGCAGGGUGACCAUGGCGGGGAGUGCUGCAACCACGACCAGGUUUGCUGGAACCGACUGGGCGAUUUGCUGGAACCAGCGCCCAAAAGUGCUUCCACUGGAAUUCGUUCUUUUUGUACCAGCGAUUUUUUGCUACCACCACAGUUUUGUUUUGCUGGAACCAACAUCCAAAAAUGCUUCCAUCAGAAUUUGUUCUUCUUGUACCAGCGAUUAUUUGCUACAACCACAAUUUUGUUUUGCUGGAACCAACAUCGAAAAAUGUUUCCUCCAGAGUUUAAUUCUUUGAUGGACCAGCAACAUUUGCUACAACAAUAG